UACGUAGGGUGCAAGCGUUACUCGGAAUUACUGGGCGUAAAGCGUGCGCAGGCGGUUAUGUAAGUCCGUUGUGAAAUCCCCGGGCUCAACCUGGGAACUGCAUCUGUGACUGCAUAGCUAGAGUACGGUAGAGGGGGAUGGAAUUCCGCGUGUAGCAGGGAAAUGCGUAGAUAUGCGGAGGAACACCGAUGGCGAAGGCAAUCCCCUGGACCUGUACUGACGCUCAUGCACGAAAGCGUGGGGAGCAAACAGG
Molecule: ribosomal RNA, 253 nt
Filed under: uncultured bacterium
Lineage: Bacteria
Description: partial 16S ribosomal RNA
Rfam family: Bacterial small subunit ribosomal RNA
Source: RNAcentral